Molecule: ribosomal RNA, 253 nt
Filed under: uncultured bacterium
Lineage: Bacteria
Description: partial 16S ribosomal RNA
Rfam family: Bacterial small subunit ribosomal RNA
Source: RNAcentral
UACGGAGGGCGCAAGCGUUAUCCGGAUUCACUGGGUGUAAAGGGAGCGUAGACGGCGACGCAAGUCUGGAGUGAAAGCCCGGGGCCCAACCCCGGGACUGCUCUGGAAACUGCGGCGCUGGAGUACGGGAGGGGCAGGCGGAAUUCCUGGUGUAGCGGUGAAAUGCGUAGAUAUCAGGAGGAACACCGGCGGCGAAGGCGGCCUGCUGGACCGUGACUGACGUUGAGGCUCGAGAGCGUGGGGAGCAAACAGG